RNAcentral lists this ribosomal RNA (497 nucleotides) under uncultured bacterium. Its description in RNAcentral is "partial 16S ribosomal RNA". It matches the Rfam family "Bacterial small subunit ribosomal RNA", at positions 28 to 507 of the family's 1533-position model. The record is from RNAcentral.
GAUGAACGCUGGCGGCGUGCCUAAUACAUGCAAGUCGAGCGAACAGACGAGGAGCUUGCUCCUCUGACGUUAGCGGCGGACGGGGGAGUAACACGUGGAUAACCUACCUAUAAGACUGGGAUAACUUCGGGAAACCGGAGCUAAUACCGGAUAAUAUAUUGAACCGCAUGGUUCAAUAGUGAAAGACGGUUUUGCUGUCACUUAUAGAUGGAUCCGCGCCGCAUUAGCUAGUUGGUAAGGUAACGGCUUACCAAGGCAACGAUGCGUAGCCGACCUGAGAGGGUGAUCGGCCACACUGGAACUGAGACACGGUCCAGACACCUACGGGAGGCAGCAGUAGGGAAUCUUCCGCAAUGGGCGAAAGCCUGACGGAGCAACGCCGCGUGAGUGAUGAAGGUCUUCGGAUCGUAAAACUCUGUUAUUAGGGAAGAACAAAUGUGUAAGUAACUAUGCACGUCUUGACGGUACCUAAUCAGAAAGCCACGGCUAACUACGUG